Meriones unguiculatus (Mongolian gerbil) is the source of this 106-nucleotide small nuclear RNA. The record is from Ensembl. Lineage: Eukaryota; Metazoa; Chordata; Mammalia; Rodentia; Muridae.
GUGCUCACUUCAACAGCACAUAUACUAAAAUUGGAACUCUACAGAGAAGGUUAGAUGGCCCCUGGGCAAGGGAGACACACACAUUUGUAAAGCAUUCCAUAUAUUU